CUAGCAUCACAAAAAUUUCAUUAAAUGCUGAAAGGCAUCAUACUUGUCAUUGAAUUGCUUAAAUUUAGGACUGAUGUAAUCUUUGGGACAUGAUGUGGCAGCUACCCUAGCAAGGUAUAGCAGUUUGAGAUCAAAUACGAAAAACUAAGGCUUUUGUUUUUUUUUUUUUUCUAGCAACUUGUAAAGAUAUUUGGUGACAAAACCCUGGGUUUUAGUGGAUUGUGCCACCAAGAAGGAUAUGCUCCAGGUUGGAAGUUUAUGGUGAUAUAUUUUCCUAUGGAAGCAAUCAAGGUGUGGG
Molecule: long non-coding RNA, 298 nt
Filed under: Gossypium raimondii (Peruvian cotton)
Lineage: Eukaryota; Viridiplantae; Streptophyta; Magnoliopsida; Malvales; Malvaceae
Description: long non-coding RNA (GRAI_LNC000377)
Source: RNAcentral